UCCCCGGUAGCUUAGAUGGUUAAGAAUCUGCCUGCAAUGCAGGAAACCCAGGUUUAACCCCUGGGUUGGGAA
RNAcentral lists this transfer RNA (72 nucleotides) under Ovis aries (sheep). It matches the Rfam family "tRNA". From Rfam's summary of the family: Transfer RNA (tRNA) molecules are approximately 80 nucleotides in length. Lineage: Eukaryota; Metazoa; Chordata; Mammalia; Artiodactyla; Bovidae. The record is from Rfam by way of RNAcentral.